CACAUGCAAGUCGAGGGGCAUCAGGGAUUAGCAAUAAUCCGCUGGCGACCGGCGCACGGGUGAGUAACACGUAUCCAACCUUCCGAUAACUCGGGGAUAGCCUUUCGAAAGAAAGAUUAAUACUCGAUAGUAUAUUUUCUUCGCAUGUUGAAAAUAUUAAAGAAUUUCGGUUAUCGAUGGGAAUGCGUUCCAUUAGGCAGUUGGCGGGGUAACGGCCCACCAAACCUACGAUGGAUAGGGGUUCUGAGAGGAAGGUCCCCCACAUUGGAACUGAGACACGGUCCAAACUCCUACGGGAGGCAGCAGUGAGGAAUAUUGGUCAAUGGACGCAAGUCUGAACCAGCCAAGUAGCGUGAAGGAUGACUGCCCUAUGGGUUGUAAACUUCUUUUAUAUGGGAAUAAAGUGCGCCACGUGUGGUGUUUUGUAUGUACCAUUAUGAAUAAGCAUCGGCUAACUCCGUGCCAGCAGCCGCGGUAAUACGGAGGAUGCGAGCGUUAUCCGGAUUUAUUGGGUUUAAAGGGAGCGUAGGUGGGCUGUUAAGUCAGCUGUGAAAGUUUGCGGCUCAACCGUAAAAUUGCAGUUGAUACUGUCAGUCUUGAGUACAGUAGAGGUUAGCGGAAUUCGUGGUGUAGCGGUGAAAUGCUUAGA
RNAcentral lists this ribosomal RNA (649 nucleotides) under uncultured Bacteroidota bacterium. Its description in RNAcentral is "bacterial SSU rRNA". It matches the Rfam family "Bacterial small subunit ribosomal RNA", at positions 52 to 694 of the family's 1533-position model. Lineage: Bacteria; Pseudomonadati; Bacteroidota. The record is from RNAcentral.